This 501-nucleotide ribosomal RNA is filed under the name uncultured bacterium. RNAcentral's name for it is "partial 16S ribosomal RNA". It matches the Rfam family "Bacterial small subunit ribosomal RNA", at positions 30 to 523 of the family's 1533-position model. The record is from RNAcentral.
AUUGAACGCUGGCGGCAGGCUUAACACAUGCAAGUCGAGCGGAGCGAGGGUGCUUGCACCUUAGCUUAGCGGCGGACGGGUGAGUAAUGCUUAGGAAUCUGCCUAUUAGUGGGGGACAACAUUCCGAAAGGAAUGCUAAUACCGCAUACGCCCUAAGGGGGAAAGCAGGGGAUCUUCGGACCUGGCGCUAAUAGAUGAGCCUAAGUCGGAUUAGCUAGUGGGUGGGGUAAAGGCCUACCAAGGCGACGAUCUGUAGCGGGUCUGAGAGGAUGAUCCGCCACACUGGGACUGAGACACGGCCCAGACUCCUACGGGAGGCAGCAGUGGGGAAUAUUGGACAAUUGGCGGAAGCCUGAUCCAGCCAUGCCGCGUGUGUGAAGAAGGCCUUUUGGUUGUAAAGCACUUUAAGCGAGGAGGAGGCUACUUAGAUUAAUACUCUGGGAUAGUGGACGUUACUCGCAGAAUAAGCACCGGCUAACUCUGUGCCAGCCGCCGCCGUAA